AGCUUUGCACAGUGGCAGUAUCAUAGCCAAUAAGGUUUAUCCAAGGCACAAUUAUUGCUAAUUGAAAACUAUCCAUUGCACCACUAGCUGUUUAUGUGAUUCUUUGACAAAAUAUAGAAUAAACCAUUUAAUGAAAUGAAAACAGAUUC
Molecule: small nuclear RNA, 149 nt
Organism: Monodelphis domestica (gray short-tailed opossum)
Lineage: Eukaryota; Metazoa; Chordata; Mammalia; Didelphimorphia; Didelphidae
Gene: U4
Rfam family: U4 spliceosomal RNA
About the family: U4 small nuclear RNA (U4 snRNA) is a component of the major U2-dependent spliceosome. The structure of U4 snRNA from yeast and human has been reported. U4 snRNA presents a k-turn RNA motif in the 5p-SL related to recognition of Snu13 protein.
Source: Ensembl